Molecule: small RNA, 436 nt
Filed under: Rattus norvegicus (Norway rat)
Lineage: Eukaryota; Metazoa; Chordata; Mammalia; Rodentia; Muridae
Description: uncharacterized LOC108351129
Source: RNAcentral
UUACUUCCAUUGGUUUAAGUUGUUCUCUACAGAUUCAAAUUACUGACUCAACUCUUCGUUGUAUCUGAGCUGAAUAUUUCCCUGUCAACUUGAUACCAGCUUGGCUUACCUGGGAAGAGGAGGAGGAAGAGGAAGAGGAAGAAGAGGAGGAAGAGGAGGAGGAAACAAACAAACACAUCAAUGAAAAUCAAAUAUUACAGAUUUGCUAUAAACAAAAGCUUAUUUAGAGAUAAGCUCAGAAAUUUGCAUGGUCAUGAAAAUCACUCAAUCGUUGCAGUCAUUCUGCUCUUGGCAGUUGACAGAUGCUUGGAGAGAAGAGUAAAUUUUCCUUGAAGGGAAAGCCCUUCAUAAAUUGGACAUACUCCAGAGGAAGGCCAUACAUCCAACCAUAUGUGAGCAGCAUCAACAGCAUUGAAGCUUUAAAAAGAAAAAAGGA